RNAcentral lists this ribosomal RNA (32 nucleotides) under Ophiocordyceps ferruginosa. RNAcentral describes it as "partial small subunit ribosomal RNA". The record is from RNAcentral. Lineage: Eukaryota; Fungi; Ascomycota; Sordariomycetes; Hypocreales; Ophiocordycipitaceae.
UCUCCGUUAGUAAACCAGCGGAGGGAUUAUUA